AAGAGGUCACUAAAGACACACUUCAAAUACGUACAGGUUUGUAGGGUUGCGGCUUCGGAGAGCAGUAGAGGCCGGUUCUCUGGAUACAUUCAAGAGAGAACUAGAUAGGGCUUUUAAAGAUAGCGGAGUCAGGGGAUUUGGGGUGAAGGCAGGAACGGGGUACUGAUUGGGGAUGAUCAGCCAUGAUCACAUUGAAUGGUGGUGCUGGCCCGAAGGGCCGAAUGGCCUACUCCAUCACCUAUUGUCUACUGUCUAUUGUCUCAAUUACACGUUGCACCUGCCCGUGUUUGGUCCAUAUCCCACCAAAGCUGUUUCAGGUGAUCAUUGGCCAACCUAUCCGCACUGACCAAUGAUCACCUGUACACUAGUUCUAUGUCCUACACACGAGAGGGCAAUUUAGAGUCGCCAUUUAACUUGCUAGCCUUUGGAAUAUGUGAGGAAAACAGAGCACGUGGAGAAAUCCCACAAACUGUACAUUCAUUUGAUCCAACAAACCCACAACGUUUUUGAAUAAUCCUACCUGCAUAUACUCCCUGUCAGACACAUUAUACCCCACAGCCAACAACGGACCAUUGUGGGCUCCAAUUUUUCUUUAUCAUCAUUACUUUAUACAUAUCUUUGUUUCAUUUAUUCUAUAUAUCUCUUAUAACCAUCUAUAUCUUUCGUUUCCCUGUCCCCUGACUCUCAGUCUGAAGAAGGGUUUCGAUCCGAAACGUCGCAUAUUCCUUUUCUCCAGAGAUGCUGCCUGGCCCGCUGAAUUACUCCAGCUGUUUGUGUCUAUUUUCCGUAAACCGCCCAAGCCUGUUUUAUAAUGUUUUAUGUGAAAGAUUGUUCAUUCUUUUUGCUAUAAAGUAGACUUUGGUUUCAGGACAAUGCUGCAUGUGUGAAGCACAAUGUGUCCUCUUCAUUUUGGUGAGCAGAGUUAAAUCUAAAUCUAUCGAAUUAUCAGCUCUGUCCAAGGGCGUCAGCUGCGAUUGAAGAUUCGUCUGAAAACGCUGGGGUUAGUCCACAAAGUGGGUAUGCGUUUCACGCACAGUAUAUUUUGGUAAAGCUUUACAAGUUCAUUACUCCAACCUCACCUCCCCUCCCCUCCCCAUCGCCCAAUCACUUCAAUUUGGGUUGGUAUCUGCUGAGCUCAGCUCAAGGGUUGCAAAAGGUUUUGUGGUGCUGCCGGUGUUCUGUGUCUUUUAUUCAUCGGGUUUGCAUCAAGAGCUGAGGUCCCACGAUGAUGAACAGAAUCUGGAUCUGCGCCUUCAUUUGCUGCAUCGUGGCUUUUGUGAGCGUUUUGGGAGCCAAGGGCCCAACAGACUUCCAAUUUGCCGAUGAGAGUGCUGUCGAAACUGCCGGAGCUGCAGGAUUUACCCCAGCCAUUGCCAAGGUCCUGAUUCUGUCCCUUAUUCCAGUCUUCCUGCAGAGAGUUCUGUCUUAAUUCAGUGCUCGAGGUGGCCACUUCCAGCUGAUUCAUCCAUCACCAUGGAGACCAUCCUGCUCUGCUCGCAUUCAAUCUCCAACUUUGAGUUCUCAGGAAUCGCCUUUGAAAUGUGUCGCGUAAUCUCUGCGCAACCCGUCGACCACCGACUGAGAUCUGCUUCCCAUUCUUCACUCCCUCUCUCUCGCAGCCUAGCCUCCAACGUAUUUCCUGAAAUUAAUUUUGCCUGUGAAACAGCUGGAAUCCACAACUUCACUGUUAUCAAGGUCGGAGAAAAAAAUAAUUGAAAGAUAACUAAAGUAUUGCAGGUCAUGAAACUGGAUGCCCUGCUGGAAGUUUAACAUGUUCUCUUUUCAUAUUUUACUAUUUCUAUUGUUUCCGUGAGAUAUGUUGGCAUUUCACUUAAAGCCAUGUAAAAUUAGAGAGCAAUAAAAAAAAUUAUACUGUGCCGAUAAA
Long non-coding RNA from Leucoraja erinaceus (little skate), 1885 nucleotides. RefSeq lists it as uncharacterized. NCBI's taxonomy places the organism in Eukaryota, Metazoa, Chordata, Chondrichthyes, Rajiformes, Rajidae. The transcript is spliced from 2 exons. The record is from RefSeq and is a predicted model, not a curated record.